UGCAAUUUUGCUCCUGUUGUACUUCUUGAUCAUAUAUUUAAAUUUAAAUAAAGAAAAAUCGUCUCAUUUCCACUGUCAUUGUUUAUCUUCAUUUCAGCUUGCUGAUUAACCUUGACUUAAUUGCUAUUGAAUGUUCUGCUUAAAACUAAUAACACAAUUGUAUUGUCUUUCUUUAUACGCUCCGAUUUAAUUAAUUGCAAGCGAAUCCAUUUGGAAGCUGUAUCGCUGCCAAACAGUGGGACCACUACUGUAAAAAUCUGUCAAUGAAACAAAUUAAGAGGACCUGCCAGGCAUCUCAAAUCGAUUACAAUCGAAUGUGUGUAUGGACAAAAAGAAAGAAAUGUCAUGUCACCAAAUCAACAAUGACAGAUAACAAAACAUCUGAUUUGGCUGGCAGCAACAAUAACGGUCUGGAUAAAAACAAGGAGCAAGGAUAUGUGGCAACAACAAGACGUUUAUAGAGUAACGGCUGUCAUAUUUUUUCAAUGGGUGGUGUCUGGGUACGUGAAUAUACGUUGAUACAUGCAUAUGCAUGUUUGUUUGAAGUCAUCAUCAAUGCUCAAAAGACAAUCAGUCAGCAAGUCGCUUUCAAAAUUAUGAUCACGAGCAUUUGACAUGUCAAUUUAGAACGCAACAACGGACACACAGCACAAACAUCAUUGCCAACUGACAUACGAGGUCCUCAAUGUGCCAAGUGUCCCAACGCGAAGUAAACACGAGUUGUUCUUGUCUUCGCCAAGAUGGUGCUUGCUUCGGCAAUCAUAGCCUCUGUUAUUGUUGUUUUUGGUUUUCGUCAAGAGUUGCGUACACAAACCGAAAUGUUUUGAAAAUAUACAGAAUCCAGUCCCGCCCGUCUACAAAAGGAGCUAAAAUUUAUGAACUUGUGUGUCCCGCUGUUUACACGUUCAUUUGGCCAUUAAGGGCACAGCUUGACAAAAUCUUCAAUAGAGUCAUCAUCACUUAGCCUUGAGUGUGAUUUUGUUUCUGAAAUAAGAGAACAGAGAGUCGAUAAUUGAAAGAGUGAUUAAAUGAAGAGAGGGGAGGAGAAAAAUCUCUUAAAUUACUAACUCAAAGAAUGUAAGAGAAGUGAUAUGUCCAAUGAAUGCGAAAUAAUAAGAAAAUUCAGAAUACACAAGUUUUGGGGCGAAAAGUGUUGACAUAUAUAGUCCUGAUUUUAAAUUCAAUAAAAAUUGGUAAUUUAGAGCA
Musca domestica (house fly) is the source of this 1206-nucleotide long non-coding RNA. RefSeq lists it as uncharacterized. The transcript has 2 exons. The record is from RefSeq and is a predicted model, not a curated record. Lineage: Eukaryota; Metazoa; Arthropoda; Insecta; Diptera; Muscidae.